AUUGAACGCUGGCGGCAGGCCUAACACAUGCAAGUCGAGCGGAUGAAGGGAGCUUGCUCCUGGAUUCAACGGCGGACGGGUGAGUAAUGCCUAGGAAUCUGCCUGGUAGUGGGGGAUAACGUCCGGAAACGGGCGCUAAUACCGCAUACGUCCUGAGGGAGAAAGUGGGGGAUCUUCGGACCUCACGCUAUCAGAUGAGCCUAGGUCGGAUUAGCUAGUUGGUGGGGUAAAGGCCUACCAAGGCGACGAUCCGUAACUGGUCUGAGAGGAUGAUCAGUCACACUGGAACUGAGACACGGUCCAGACCCCUACGGGAGGCAGCAGUGGGGAAUAUUGGACAAUGGGCGAAAGCCUGAUCCAGCCAUGCCGCGUGUGUGAAGAAGGUCUUCGGAUUGUAAAGCACUUUAAGUUGGGAGGAAGGGCAGUAAGUUAAUACCUUGCUGUUUUGACGUUACCAACAGAAUAAGCACCGGCUAACUUCGUG
Molecule: ribosomal RNA, 484 nt
Filed under: uncultured bacterium
Lineage: Bacteria
Description: partial 16S ribosomal RNA
Rfam family: Bacterial small subunit ribosomal RNA
Source: RNAcentral